AGGCUUUCAAAAUUCACUGGCUUUCUAGAAUUCCAGGAAGAAACUUGGAGACUCAAGUUACCCAUGAAAGAUGUUGGAAGAGCAUCUGCACUUCCCUGAUUAGUUUCUGGUGGCUGCAGCCAUGCCCCACUGUUAAGUUGACAUCUGGGAGUCCCGAAAUUUGGAUGAUGCCAGUUGUGAAGCUGUGAGUUUGUUUGCCCUCUUUGUGACAACUAAAAUAUGUCUCCACACAUUGCCAAAUGUUCUCUGGGGCAAAAUCAUACCUGACUAGAACCACUGCUAAGAGAAAGCAACAAGAGAAGUACUGUCUUUGGUAAGUUGAAAACAAUUCUUUGCAAGUGACUGGUGAUGCAGAUUUGCAAGAAAUAGAGAGGCAAGAGAUUUGGUGUGAUAUAAAAUAGAGGAAAAAUGAUUGCCCCUAGACCUCAGUCACACCAGCAUUAUGCUUUCACUGCCUAAGCAAUGAGUUAAAGACAAUGGGAAGCAAUAAAUUUUCUAGAUGUGUGGCAUAGCUUUGGAUUCAAUGAUCAAUUGGACCACCUAUGGCCAUUUCACUUCACCUUGGGACUUCCUUUUUCACAUCACCGUGGAGGCCACUGAACUGCCUUGCUGUUGUUUUAUCAUGUAGUCAUGGACUUUGAGUA
This is a long non-coding RNA of Neofelis nebulosa (Clouded leopard), 644 nucleotides long. RefSeq lists it as uncharacterized. The transcript is spliced from 3 exons. NCBI's taxonomy places the organism in Eukaryota, Metazoa, Chordata, Mammalia, Carnivora, Felidae. The record is from RefSeq and is a predicted model, not a curated record.